Molecule: long non-coding RNA, 669 nt
Organism: Chrysoperla carnea
Lineage: Eukaryota; Metazoa; Arthropoda; Insecta; Neuroptera; Chrysopidae
Exons: 5
Source: RefSeq, a predicted model, not a curated record
AAUCGAUAUUAGUUGUAUGAAGUUGGCACUACUGUAUUUGGUACAACUUAAGUGUCAAUAUGGAUUUGAACAAACGACAACAUAACUUAAUACUAAUAUUGGCGAUGAUGAUUCCUGGAAUACAUAUACAUAUGCACAUUCGGUCAAGGGCCGUUUGCCGUUACAGUACGGGCGAGAUGUAUGGAUCUUCGAAUCAAUUGGAUCGUCUUCACCACCACCUGGUGCCGUGAAAUGGAGAGUGGUUGUCCUUUGUCGUUAAUAGGCGGCUAUUGGCCAGCUCCAAUGUGACAAAGGCCACUCGACGGCUUGAUUAAUGGAUGCACCAGGAAUCACCGCACACGAUUAUGUCCUUUGGCCGGCAAAUUAAUUGAUAAAGAGGAAAAGAUAAAUACAACUUACAUAGUCAUUCAUGAAUGGAACCGGGGUUGAACAACCGGACGGCCAGGAGAGAACGCAGCAGCACACAGCGGAUUCACUGGGUGAUCCUCGAGUGCCUGGUGCCGCCGUGAUCCAAUCACGACCUUUCGCGCCGUGUUUACCGCCUGCGAUGCUGCGUGCGAUUCUCUGUUUGUGCGUCGUGUGCCUGGCCAUCCGGGUAUCCACUUUCGGCCAUUUUUUUAUUUUUAUGAUUUGUAAUGAAAAAAAAAUUGUAUUUUAAUUUUAAAUAAA